RNAcentral lists this long non-coding RNA (920 nucleotides) under Chinchilla lanigera (long-tailed chinchilla). RNAcentral's name for it is "lncRNA (ENSCLAG00000027375.1)". The record is from RNAcentral. Lineage: Eukaryota; Metazoa; Chordata; Mammalia; Rodentia; Chinchillidae.
AUGGCUGCCGAGCCUGGGCCCAAGGCUCCGGGCCUACCUCAGUGCGACGGCAAGCUCCAGCCAACAGGUAAUACCAACUGGGAUUCAUAUGCUACAACAAUGAAGACGGCAUUCACAUAUAAAACAGGAGAAGUGCCAGCUCUAAUUCGUCAAAAAAGUAUCAAAAGAUUAGGAUAUACAUACUCACUUAGUGAUCCAAUUCUGAAUCAGACCCAAUACAAUGAUGAAUAUGUUUGGAAAUCAUAUGUUAAAGAAAAUCUGAUAAAAAAUGAGACUUCAAGACGAGUCAAGAGCUACAAAUUGCACCCCACUCAGGGAUUUCAGUGGACACUACCCAAAGGGCAUUCAAAGAUGACACCAAGAAGCUGCCUCCCUUGGAAAAUCCCUGCCUCCAUGGAAGAAAUUCAGAAGACACUCUCAGACCAGUUUAUUUCCUGUACUAUGAGAGACUUUGUGGACCCAGCCGCAGGACACAGCAGACAGAAAGAGCCCAGGAAAUACUUGUUGAAUGACAGAAUAUAUGGAAAAUACUCUUUGAAGCUGGGAAGGCAUGGGAUUAAAAGACCUCUAUACGUGCAGAUAAACAUUAAAGAUAAUGAGAAAACAUUUGAAAUGCCAACAUUUUUAAAAGACGUCUUUGAGUUCUCAAUCCAAGUUCUCCAUCCAGCAUAAGCAAAUCCUCAUUUCCCUAUGUGCAGGUAAAUACCUAGGACCUGUCAAGAUUCCCUCGUAACUCUCUCAGUUCCAUCUGUUUGUGUCCCUCCCCACUGGCCUGUCUUAGUUCAGACUACCAAUACCUCUCUUUGGAUUACCUGCAACCUAACUCUCUCUCCCCUAGUCUUGUCCCCUCUGAUCUACUGUCCACACUGAGUUUCUGGAUGUGCAAAUUGACAUCACUUUUAGCUUAAAAUCCUUAAGAG